Tupaia belangeri chinensis (Chinese tree shrew) is the source of this 396-nucleotide long non-coding RNA. RefSeq lists it as uncharacterized. The record is from RefSeq and is a predicted model, not a curated record. NCBI's taxonomy places the organism in Eukaryota, Metazoa, Chordata, Mammalia, Scandentia, Tupaiidae. The transcript has 3 exons.
UGCACGAAGGUCGGGCCUGGCGGGGCCGGGCCGGGCCGCGCGCAGCUGAGCGGUGGUCCGAGCGCCCGGCCCGCGCCGCGGGCUUCCGCCGGGUCAGCUGACUGCCCAGUGCGGAACUGCGCUCCCCGCCAGCCGCGCUCCCCGUCCCACCGCGCUGCGCGCCCGCCAGGUCCGGGCUGCCAUGGCCGGGCUGGUGGUCAGUGGAACUCAUGUGUCCUACAUAGGCCAGGACUGCAGAGAAAUUCCAGAGCACCUUGGCAGGGACUGUGGACAUUUUGCAAAGAGGCUUGAUCUGAGCUUUAACCUCCUGAGAUGCCAACUGCUGUACUUUUAGUAGAGUGGGAAAGCAGGACCGGAGAGGCAACUAGGCUGAUAUGGCCGUUGGGGCCAUGGUGA